CCUACGGGAGGCAGCAGUAGGGAAUCUUUCACAAUGGGCGAAAGCCUGAUGGAGCAACGCCGCGUGCAGGAUGAAGGCCUUCGGGUUGUAAACUGCUUUUAUAAGCGAGAAAUAUGAUGGUAACUUAUGAAUAAGGAUCGGCUAACUACGUGUCAGCAGCCGCGGUCAUACGUAGGAUCCGAGCAUUAUCCGGAGUGACUGGGUGUAAAGAGUUGCGUAGGUGGCAUAAUAAGUAGCUAGUGAAAUCUGGUGGCUCAACCAUUCAAACUAUUAGCUAAACUGUUAAGCUCGAGACCGUUAGGGGUAACUGGAAUUUCUAGUGUAGGAGUGAAAUCCGUAGAUAUUAGAAGGAACACCAAUAGCGUAGGCAGGUUGCUGGGACGGUUCUGACACUAAGGCACGAAAGCGUAGGGAGCAAACGGGAUUAGAUACCCGGGUAGUC
This 442-nucleotide ribosomal RNA is filed under the name uncultured bacterium. RNAcentral describes it as "partial 16S ribosomal RNA". It matches the Rfam family "Bacterial small subunit ribosomal RNA", at positions 338 to 795 of the family's 1533-position model. The record is from RNAcentral.